RNAcentral lists this ribosomal RNA (424 nucleotides) under uncultured bacterium. Its description in RNAcentral is "bacterial SSU rRNA". It matches the Rfam family "Bacterial small subunit ribosomal RNA", at positions 355 to 772 of the family's 1533-position model. The record is from RNAcentral.
UGGGGAAUCUUGGUCAAUGGGCGCAAGCCUGAACCAGCGACGCCGCGUGAGUGAUGAAGGCCUUCGGGUUGUAAAGCUCUGUGGGGAGGGACGAAAGAGCACGUUCUAACAGGACGUGCGUUGACGGUACCUCCUUAGCAAGCACCGGCUAACUCUGUGCCAGCAGCCGCGGUAAGACAGAGGGUGCAAACGUUGCUCGGAAUCACUGGGCGUAAAGGGCGUGUAGGCGGACUUGCAAGUCAGGCGUGAAAUCCCUGGGCUCAACCCAGGAAUUGCACUUGAAACUGCAAGCCUUGAGUGUCGGAGAGGAAAGUGGAAUUCCUGGUGUAGAGGUGAAAUUCGUAGAUAUCAGGAGGAACACCGGUGGCGAAGGCGGCUUUCUGGACGACAACUGACGCUGAGACGCGAAAGCGUGGGGAGCAAA